RNAcentral lists this ribosomal RNA (230 nucleotides) under uncultured bacterium. Its description in RNAcentral is "partial 16S ribosomal RNA". It matches the Rfam family "Bacterial small subunit ribosomal RNA", at positions 108 to 334 of the family's 1533-position model. The record is from RNAcentral.
GAGUAACACGUAGCUAACCUGCCCUCUUGACAGGAAUAACCAUCCGAAAGGGUGGCUAAUGCCCGAUGUUGUGCGGAGUUGAUGACUCCGUACCAAAGGCGGUCUUGCCGCCACAAGGGGAGGGGGCUGCGUCCUAUUAGCUUGUUGGUAGGGUAAUGGCCUACCAAGGCAGUAAUGGGUAGCUGGUCUGAGAGGACGAUCAGCCGCAUUGGGACUGAGAUACGGCCCAG